RNAcentral lists this ribosomal RNA (500 nucleotides) under uncultured Glomus. Its description in RNAcentral is "SSU rRNA". It matches the Rfam family "Eukaryotic small subunit ribosomal RNA", at positions 569 to 1075 of the family's 1831-position model. Lineage: Eukaryota; Fungi; Glomeromycota; Glomeromycetes; Glomerales; Glomeraceae. The record is from RNAcentral.
AGCAGUCGCGGUAAUUCCAGCUCCAAUAGCGUAUAUUAAAGUUGUUGCAGUUAAAAAGCUUGUAGUUGAAUUUCGGGAUCAGUACGCUGGUCGUGCCUCUGGUAUGUACUGGUGUCACUGAUUCCUCCCUUCUGACGAACCAUCAUGCCAUUCACUUGGUGUGGUGGGAAAUCAGGACUGUUACUUUGAAAAAUUAGAGUGUUUAAAGCAGGCUCACGCUUGAAUACAUUAGCAUGGAAUAAUGAAAUAGGACGUUGAUCCUAUUUUGUUGGUUUCUAGGAUUGACGUAAUGAUUAAUAGGGAUAGUUGGGGCAUUAGUAUUCAAUUGUCAGAGGUGAAAUUCUUGGAUUUAUUGAAGACUAACUACUGCGAAAGCAUUUGCCAAGGAUGUUUUUCAUUAAUCAAGAACGAAAGUUAGGGGAUCGAAGACGAUCAGAUACCGUCGUAGUCUUAACCAUAAACUAUGCCGACUAGGGAUCGGAUGAUGUUAAUUUUUAAUG